RNAcentral lists this long non-coding RNA (726 nucleotides) under Macaca mulatta (Rhesus monkey). RNAcentral describes it as "lncRNA (ENSMMUG00000054500.1)". Lineage: Eukaryota; Metazoa; Chordata; Mammalia; Primates; Cercopithecidae. The record is from RNAcentral.
UGGAGCAGAGCACUCGCUGGUCGGAAGGUGCAGGUCGCAGGUGCGGGAUUCUGUUUGAGGACCUGUGCAAGCUUUCCUAACAGGCUGGGGGCAGGGAGUGAAGCUGAAUGCAGAAAUCCUGUCCUCAGCUUUAAGGGCUCCCUCCUCCUACCCCCUCUUCCCCCCAGAGGUGGAACCCCUGAGCAGACAGGCACUCCAUGAAUGCUCCUUUGCAGAAUUGGAUGGAACGACACUCUAUGCCAAGCAUCACUCCGGGAUGAUACAAGGAGAGGGGACUAUCAGGUGGGCCCAGUGGAUGGACAUUACUGGAAGACAGAUUUGUGAAGGGUUGAAGGGGGUGCGGAGUGGACAUCAUUACCAUAAUAUGUUUCAUACAAGGAAGAGCAGCCAAAACCCGGGUCAGGCUCGCCUCAAACUCAGGUUCACUGCUUUAGAUCCAGGGCGUGACCCAACUAGCAUCACUGGCAUCACAGCUUGUGAGAAAUGCUGAAUGUCAGGCCUCAGCCCAGACCUACUGAAACAGACUGCAUUUUAACAAGACUCCCAGGUGAUUCCUGCACACAUUAAAGUUCAUCUUUGCCAAAUAGAGUACGGUAUGUGUGUCCUCAUUUGUAUAGAGUUUACAUGCUGAGGUUUCCUUGCUGCACUUAAGGAGAGUUAAGCAGUUGAUGCUAUAAUGAUGGUAUUCAGGCUUAGAGAGGGAUAUCGUAGCUCCACAGCCUUCAG